This 496-nucleotide ribosomal RNA is filed under the name Brettanomyces anomalus. Its description in RNAcentral is "eukaryotic LSU rRNA". It matches the Rfam family "Eukaryotic large subunit ribosomal RNA", at positions 90 to 592 of the family's 3401-position model. Lineage: Eukaryota; Fungi; Ascomycota; Pichiomycetes; Pichiales; Pichiaceae. The record is from RNAcentral.
CGAAUGAAGCGGCAAGAGCCCAAAUUUGAAAUCAGGCCCUCGUGGCUUGAGUUGUAAUUUGGAGACGGGAUACUAGAGAGAGGGAGGGCGACUAAGUGCCUUGGAACAGGCUGCCGUAGAGGGUGAGAGCCCCGUGAGUCGCGUGAACUUGAUCAAUUAGUGCCCGCCGAAGAGUCGAGUUGUUUGGGAAUGCAGCUCUAAGUGGGUGGUAUAUUCCAUCUAAGGCUAAAUAUUAGCGAGAGACCGAUAGCAAACAAGUACAGUGAUGGAAAGAUGAAAAGAACUUUGGAAAGAGAGUGAAAUAGUACGUGAAAUUGUUGAAAGGGAAGGGUAUUUGAUCCGACAUGGUGUUUAGCAGCGGCCCGUUCCUCGUGGAUGGGUGCACCUGGUUUACACUGGGCCAGCAUCGGUUCUGGGAGCCAUAUACGGGGCAGGCGAAUGUGGCCCUUCGAUUCUGUCGGAGGGUGUUAUAGCGCCAGCCAGACGUGGCUAUCCG